GGGUCCACUGGUGUGCACCUGUAAUCCAGCUACUUGGGAGGCUGAGAAAGGAGUAUUGCUUGAGCCCAGGAGUUUGAGGUAUGCCUGGACAAAGUACUGAGCCCCUGCCUCAA
RNAcentral lists this small RNA (113 nucleotides) under Marmota monax (woodchuck). Lineage: Eukaryota; Metazoa; Chordata; Mammalia; Rodentia; Sciuridae. The record is from RNAcentral.